AAGCUCCAAAACUUUAAUAAUAUAACUAUACCAUGAAGUGUGACCUUCAUACAGUCUUUCAGAUAGUACCAGUGCUUCUUUUAGUAAAAUGUCAUCAGAUUUUUUUUUAAUGUUAUCCAAUAUUUCAGGAUGCUUAAUAAAAUAGACAAUUGUAUUGGUAAAUGUCCCACUUCUUCCAUGACAGCAUUAUUUGUGCUCUUUCAGUUCACA
Molecule: long non-coding RNA, 210 nt
Filed under: Mytilus galloprovincialis (Mediterranean mussel)
Lineage: Eukaryota; Metazoa; Mollusca; Bivalvia; Mytilida; Mytilidae
Source: RNAcentral